This 253-nucleotide ribosomal RNA is filed under the name uncultured bacterium. RNAcentral's name for it is "partial 16S ribosomal RNA". It matches the Rfam family "Bacterial small subunit ribosomal RNA", at positions 524 to 776 of the family's 1533-position model. The record is from RNAcentral.
UACGUAGGGUGCGAGCGUUAAUCGGAAUUACUGGGCGUAAAGCGUGCGUAGGUGGUGAGUUAAGUCUGAUGUGAAAUCCCCGGGCUCAACCUGGGAAUGGCAUUGGAUACUGGCUCGCUAGAGUGCGGUAGAGGGUGGUGGGAUUCCCGGUGUAGCAGUGAAAUGCGUAGAGAUCGGGAGGAACAUCUGUGGCGAAGGCGGCCACCUGGACCAACACUGACACUGAGGCACGAAAGCGUGGGGAGCAAACAGG